Molecule: ribosomal RNA, 233 nt
Filed under: uncultured bacterium
Lineage: Bacteria
Description: partial 16S ribosomal RNA
Rfam family: Bacterial small subunit ribosomal RNA
Source: RNAcentral
ACGGGUGAGUAACACGUAUCCAACCUGCCGUCUACUCUUGGACAGCCCUCUGAAAGGAAAGAUUAAUACAAGAUGGCAUCAUGAGUCCACAUGUUCACAUGAUUAAAGGUAUUCCGGUAGACGAUGGGGAUGCGUUCCAUUAGAUAGUAGGCGGGGUAACGGCCCACCUAGUCUUCGAUGGAUAGGGGUUCUGAGAGGAAGGUCCCCCACAUUGGAACUGAGACACGGUCCAA